CCUACGGGAGGCUGCAGUAGGGAAUAUUGCUCAAUGGGGGAAACCCUGAAGCAGCAACGCCGCGUGGAGGAUGAAGGUUUUCGGAUUGUAAACUCCUUUUGUUAGAGAAGAUAAUGACGGUAUCUAACGAAUAAGCACCGGCUAACUCCGUGCCAGCAGCCGCGGUAAUACGGCGGGUGCAAGCGUUACUCGGAAUCACUGGGCGUAAAGGGCGCGUAGGCGGGAUAGCAAGUCAGAUGUGAAAUCCUAUGGCUUAACCAUAGAACUGCAUUUGAAACUGUUAUUCUAGAGUAUGGGAGAGGUAGGUGGAAUGCUUGGUGUAGGGGUAAAAUCCGUAGAGAUCAAGAGGAAUACUCAUUGCGAAGGCGACCUGCUAGAACAUAACUGACGCUGAUGCGCGAAAGCGUGGGGAGCAAACAGGAUUAGAUACCCGAGUAGUC
This 440-nucleotide ribosomal RNA is filed under the name uncultured bacterium. RNAcentral describes it as "partial 16S ribosomal RNA". It matches the Rfam family "Bacterial small subunit ribosomal RNA", at positions 338 to 795 of the family's 1533-position model. The record is from RNAcentral.